UUUUAAAAGCCUUUUUGUAACGAAUACAAAUUUAAAAAUCAGAGUUGCGGAAAACGUGCCUUUUUUUUUUGAAUUCAAGCAGGCCCACGUGACGUACAGACCCGCCAUAAAUACAAAAUUCCUCUGACCACUCGGACAGAGUCUACUUUGUAUUUGCACGGCGUACCAACAAUAACAUCAGAAUCACAACAACAACCUAUAUUUACUAAUCCACCACAAUCAAUUCAUGCCAUGCAUUCUCAUACAACUAGUGAUCCUUAAAGAUGAUGCAUACCUCUAAACACUCCUUAGGCGCUAGAUGAUGUGAGCACAGUACAACAAUCAUUCUAUUUAAAAGUGCUCCCCACCCGAAAGCUUUAUUUUUAAACUCUACCCAAUCAUUGAUAAAAGCAUUCGAAAAUUCUUUUAAAACAGUUUCUCACUCGGAAACUCUAUUUUGAAAACCGACUACCUCGAGGGAUA
This 462-nucleotide long non-coding RNA is filed under the name Ananas comosus (pineapple). RNAcentral's name for it is "long non-coding RNA (ACOM_LNC034824)". Lineage: Eukaryota; Viridiplantae; Streptophyta; Magnoliopsida; Poales; Bromeliaceae. The record is from RNAcentral.